GUGUUCACUUUGGCAGCACAUAUAAUAAAAUUGGAGUGAUACGGAGAAGAUUAGCAUGGUCUGUGCACAUGGAUGACAUGCAAAUUCAUGAAGCAUUCCAUCUUCAU
RNAcentral lists this small nuclear RNA (107 nucleotides) under Gorilla gorilla gorilla (western lowland gorilla). Lineage: Eukaryota; Metazoa; Chordata; Mammalia; Primates; Hominidae. The record is from RNAcentral.